Molecule: long non-coding RNA, 1826 nt
Organism: Myxocyprinus asiaticus (Chinese sucker)
Lineage: Eukaryota; Metazoa; Chordata; Actinopteri; Cypriniformes; Catostomidae
Exons: 6
Source: RefSeq, a predicted model, not a curated record
UGUUUCUGAUAAAAGAUGAGAUGAAUAUAGUGUGCAGAGAUAGCAAGAUACAACAGUAGAACCGCAGUGAAAUUCUUCUGAAGUUUAAUUCUUAUUUUCUCUCUUUUACAGAUCAAGAAAGGGUACAGACAGAGAGUAUCAUCGUGCCACCUUGAUAAAAACCCAGACAAUCCCAAAGCUGAUCUGGAGGCGUGUGAGAAAUGGGCAGAGAUUCAUAAAUCACCCGCACCUUAGAAGAAGAGAUCACUCGUCUCUGGGAGGAGGUUUCCACUUCAGGAGCAACAGAGACUCAUAUGAGAACAGAACGAGAGUGAGAAAGAGGGGAGACAACACACACACAGGAGCUCAGGGCAACAGCGAUGUCACUCCUAAAUUGUAGCUGAAGUGGAAGUGUUAAAAAAGACGACGCCAGAAAUGCGGGUUAUUCUCAGGAAUGUCUUUAAAACCUCUUUCGAAAGACACAAUGAAGAAGAUCUGUGAAGUUUUCCAGCCGAUCAGAUGAUUAUUUUCUUUUAAAACCGGCAAAGUUGAAACUCUUGUUUUAGCGCAGCUGAGGGGUGGUGCUUCACUGCUGUCUGGGACACACCUCACCUUCGAAUGUGGAUGUCAUGACAUUUCCGACCAAAAAGUUAAGUUGAUGUAAAUUGGUGUUAAAAGUUUAAACGAGUUAAACUGACCCAGAAUUGCAUUCAAAAGUUAAAUGAUAUUUUACACAUUUUAUUCACUUACGAACUGCUGUAUACUAAACAUGAACAAGGAAAGGUGGGAGAUUGAAUAAAUGUUACGGCACAAAACUUUUUCUGUAUUUUUAUAAUGUUCACAGGCUGUCGGGGCUUCCGGUGAUUUCGAUUCAGAUUUGAAGAUCGAUUCACAAAAUGAAUCAUUCAGACCACUUUUUGAAUCGAUUUUAAAGAUUUGAAAUUGAACCAACUCAAACAAUGUAUUCGCAAAUCGGACACCACUAUUGCCAUGUUUGCGCCGUUUAGUCGCAAGAGUAAUGAAAGGUUCUGGAGAAAUGUAUCGGCGUAAAAGUAUUAAUUUCCUCUUUUAUACUCAAGUAAAGUACAAAUAUUACAAAAAUGUACUUACAGUAACAGAUUAUUUGUUCUUCGUUACGAUACACCUCAGGUCGUUAAUCACUGAAAAUUUCCGGCAUCGCUCUCAAAUCUCAUUUGCACCUCCAUGCAAUUCAGAAUAUUCAACAACGUGUCAUGUUAAGUUAUUAAACCUGGUGCAAUGUGUGAAUGCAUGGAUUAGAUUUGCACACUUUCAGUGCAGGGUAAGAUUUCAGCAAAUACACAACUCACCACGCGCCCCACCGAGAGCGAGAAUCACAUUAUAGCGACCACGAGGAGGUUACCCCAUGUGACUCUACCCUCCCUAGCAACCGGGCCAAUUUGGUUGCUAAGGAGACCUGGCUGGAGUCACUCAGCACACCCUGGAUUCGAACUCACGACUCCAGGUGUGGUAGUCAGCGUCUUUACUUGCUGAGUUACCCAGGCCCCUAAGGUCUUAACUAUUACCAAAAUGCAGAAUGAGAUGUUUUUGUCUGCAAGUGUGAAGUUCAAAGCGGCGUUUAAUGCUGGCGUUGAUGCGAAUCAUAAACGCAGCUUCACAGUGGUUGUAGGAAAUCAGAGAGCCACAGUCUACUGGCUAAUUAAUAUUGUGGAGGAUAAGAGUUUAAGAGAUUAAAUGCCCACUGCAAAGAAUAUGCAUCCUAUGUGGGCACUAGUUCUUUCAAUAAGUCACACUCCCACUUAGACUUUGGGAGAAACGUUUAAUGUUUCUUGAACUGGUGCUAUUUUAGUGCAUUUCUAUCUUUAUAC